CAGCAGCCGCGGUAACACGAAGGGUGCAAGCGUUACUCGGAAUUACUGGGCGUAAAGCGUGCGUAGGUGGUUGUUUAAGUCUGUUGUGAAAGCCCUGGGCUCAACCUGGCAAUUGCAGUGGAUACUGGGCAACUAGAGUGUGGUAGAGGGUAGUGGAAUUCCCGGUGUAGCAGUGAAAUGCGUAGAGAUCGGGAGGAACAUCCAUGGCGAAGGCAGCUACCUGGACCAACACUGACACUGAGGCACGAAAGCGUGGGGAGCAAACAGGAUUAGAUACCCCUGUAGUCCCUGUCUCUUAUAC
Molecule: ribosomal RNA, 301 nt
Filed under: uncultured bacterium
Lineage: Bacteria
Description: partial 16S ribosomal RNA
Rfam family: Bacterial small subunit ribosomal RNA
Source: RNAcentral